CUUGGCAGGGAGACACUGACCUUGGGGUUAAGCUUGCAGAAAGCCCACGUCAACAGAGGGAAACUCUGUGACCACCUGUGUACUUUGGCUAUUAUAGUGAGUACACAACAAGUGCAUACAGAGGCCUGGGAAAAGCACAGGGAAGCAGAAGUCAGGUUCCUGUGUGAUUCCAAGGUCCAAAGACACAGGUGCAGACUUUGGAGCAAGUGGAGAGCCAAGAGAAAGAUUCAGAGCUGGAGCAGAAGGCUGGAAAGAUCUGGGAGUGCAGCUGUGCUGUGUGGGAAGAGGGGUCUCCUAAAGGACAAACAGCUGUUUGAAUCAGACAGUGAAACCUCAAAAAAAAGGGAGCAAAGGGAGAUCAUUGUUGAUGAAAGAGGCAACGGCUAUUUUCGAUAUGUGCUUGACUCUGAGAAUAUAGUUUUGGACAAAGAAACCCAUAACCUGACUUAAAGGAGCUUACAAUAUGGAGCUGACUGAUAUUUGACAAAGUGAGAAGACAGCCAUCUAUGAACCAAGAAGCUGGCUCUUACCAGACUCGAAAUCUGUAUGCACCUUAAUCUUGGACUUCCCAGCCUCCAAACUGGGAAAGGAUCAGGAAAUGAGCUGGUGCGAUGGAGAAAACAGGGAAGACAACCAGUGAGUUUCAG
RNAcentral lists this long non-coding RNA (647 nucleotides) under Equus caballus (horse). Its description in RNAcentral is "lncRNA (ENSECAG00000032949.3)". Lineage: Eukaryota; Metazoa; Chordata; Mammalia; Perissodactyla; Equidae. The record is from RNAcentral.